CAUUAUAUUUAUUUUUGCAUAUUUCAAAACCGGCAAUUAUAAACUAAUAAGUGUGGUCUCCACAAGUCUGGCUUAAUGUAAAUCGAAUGCCUUAUGUUUAAAGUCGCAGCUGAAAUUCACAUUUUGCAAACAUUUGGAAAACAAUAAAAAUGCUACUUUCUGCUCGAUUGAUCGGCUCGUUUGCAUCAUGCCUUUUACAGCUCCGCUAGGAACAUCAUCACGUGCGGGCCUUUUGCGAACGUAUCACUUUCACAAGCAGCUGCAAAUAUGUUUGACAAGGUCAACAGGUAUUGUUUACAGCGAAAGAUAAAGCCGGCGCCGCCACGUAUUAAGACGCAAGUGUAUCGACGUAGCCUGUUCAUGCAUUGAAGUGCACACUUCCAAAGUGUGCUCCAAAGCAAGAUCUUGUUUUUGAAGCUAUGCGACUCGUGCAACGACGGUCUGGAAAACGCGGCGUGCGGUACACAAAGUCACGUGAGCUCGCUCCACGCAGACACGCGCUCGUGCCACUGCUCCCGCGUUCUUCCACAGCUGGCUACGAUGACGAUCAUGCACCCCAAAAAAAAAAAGCAGCGGAAAAGAAGAGCAAGGAAGAAGAAGAUCGCGAGAUGCUGACUGCUGCGUGUUGUUGCUGAGGUUAGAAGCAGUAGGAUUUUUCCACAGUGCAUGCGCAAGUGCAACAGGCUUUUUACUCACACCACAACCAGUGCGGAUAGCAGCAAGUUUUACAUGCCAAAACCAUGGAUUAUGAGGCACAUGUUUAUUAAUGCAGGACUCCGGAUUAAUUUUGACCACCAAGGGUUCUUCAAUGUGCAUUUAAAUAUGGUAUGCAUUCUUUGGAUAUGUGUCAUAGGACAAAGUACUAUGGAAGUACCAGCUUAACAGACAUGGCCCCCAUGGCAGAACAAACUCCACCUCUUCAAAGUCAAAGUGUUCCAGUUCAUCCUUUUCCAGAACUGCCAUCUGGACAAUAAGUACAUGGCAUUAAGCCAACUUUAGCAAAAGAAAUGGUAUGCCCCAACCACAUGUUUCCAUAAACAUCACACACAUGCUGCAAGGCAACCGAGGCACAGGAAGGCCCACCGAGUUAUUUAUACACCGCACAGGAAUAACAAGCAAGCGUGCAACACUACAGUCGCCAAGCCACCGCAGCGGGUGCUCCUUGGGAGGAAUACCACACAUUUUCUAAAGUUUGCACCAAUUGUGCACUUUAUGUUGAAUAUCAUGCAGCUUAUUAGUUACUCUUUACCUCUAGGCACAGCACAAAGGCAGAAUUAAAUUUGUAAUAGUGAUAACUGAGAAACAAAACAAUGUUUUUGGAACACAGUGACUUAUUGACUGCACUGUAGCCGGUUUUACGUGCUUCAGAAACUUGUCAGAGCUUGUCUGAAGCAAAUAACUAUCUGACAUGGUGUCUCGUGCUGCCACAUCAGAACGGCACAGGUACCACCAUUUUAUUUCUUGCAUGAAUUUCUUUUUGCCGUUGCAUUGCCUCACCUUUGAUCACCUUUACAACUUCUUUGCAAACAGCUUUUAUUUUCCGUAAAACUUGACCCGGCAUUCCUAAAAUCGCAGAAUGAGCCAAAAUUCAUAAACUUUACAAAAAUUCGGAACUGCCAGGUAUACCACCAGCAGUGAC
Non-coding RNA from Dermacentor albipictus, 1639 nucleotides. Lineage: Eukaryota; Metazoa; Arthropoda; Arachnida; Ixodida; Ixodidae. The record is from RefSeq and is a predicted model, not a curated record.